This is a non-coding RNA of Pelobates cultripes (western spadefoot toad), 211 nucleotides long. The record is from the annotation of a GenBank genome assembly. Lineage: Eukaryota; Metazoa; Chordata; Amphibia; Anura; Pelobatidae.
CUACCUUUAGGAAUGUACAGGUAACAUGUUAAUGCCUUUCUGAUGUCUUUGCAUGUUCAGGCAUGUAUAUGCACCCAGUCCUACUAAGUGAAAAUGUGGCUACAAGGAUUGUGGAACUUCCCAAGGAAUAAUUGUUCAGUCUUAAAGUUUUGUUGUGAUUUAAUGGGAAAUGACAAGCAUUAAAGUCACAAUUAGAACAUUAUAAGACAAC